Molecule: ribosomal RNA, 254 nt
Filed under: uncultured bacterium
Lineage: Bacteria
Description: partial 16S ribosomal RNA
Rfam family: Bacterial small subunit ribosomal RNA
Source: RNAcentral
GACGAACCGUGCGAACGUUAUUCGGAAUCACUGGGCUUAAAGCGCGUGUAGGCGGGACGGCACGUCGGUCGCUGAAAGCCCCCGGCUCAACCGGGGAACGGGCGCCGAUACGACCGCCCUCGAGGAACGUAGGGGGACCUGGAACUUCCGGUGGAGCGGUGAAAUGCGUUGAGAUGCGGAGGAACACCGAUGGCGAAGGCAGCCCCCUGGGCCAAUACUGACGCUCAGGCACGAAAGCGUGGGGAGCAAACAGG